This is a non-coding RNA of Capsicum annuum, 107 nucleotides long. The record is from Rfam. Lineage: Eukaryota; Viridiplantae; Streptophyta; Magnoliopsida; Solanales; Solanaceae.
UGAUGAUGGCGAGGGAAAUUUCUGAGCAUACUUGUAAAUCUUUCCCAAGAUUGGUAGAGAUUUUCUCCUUCUUUCUAUUUAAAACUAAGAAUCUCGCUUCUCAAACG